UUCUCCAUGUUAAAAGUCCACCAAUAAUAUUUUAUCCCUGUAACAUCAAUCAACAAUUCAUGUCCACAAUCAUAUGAAUAACUCAUAAUCAUAAUUGUGAUUCUAAAUUCCUCUUCGCACCCAGGACGAAGAUAAUUUUCAUCACCUAUCUUCACCUAAAACAUCAAAAAUCAUGGUUAUACCAAAUCACAAUUCCUGCUCAUAAUCAAACUAAUAAAUUCAUCUUUGCACUAUGGCCAAAGAUAUUCAUUAAUAAUUCAUCUUUGCACUACAUGUCAAAGACAUACAACUGUAUUUUAGAAGAGUCAAGUAGAGCAUGAUAUCUACUAUCUUUUAUGAAUUAAAAGUUUAUAAUCAAUAUUUUAUCGCUGAGACUCAGCUUAAUAAAUAAUCCACAUCAUCAAAUCAUCCCUGCACUACGGCCAAGGAUAUUCAUGUAAUCAUCAAUAGUCAUGAUUAUACCGAAUAAUCCCUGGUUAUAAUCAUACCAAUAAAUGUCCUUAAUGCAUUACGGGCCAAUGAGGACUUUUACCACAUCAUCUAUAACAUUACGGGUCAUGAUUAUAUCGAAUGAUCCCUGGUCAUAAUCAUACNNNNNNNNNNNNNNNNNNNNNNNNNNNNNNNNNNNNNNNNNNNNNNNNNNNNNNNNNNNNNNNNNNNNNNNNNNNNNNNNNNNNNNNNNNNNNNNNNNNNUGGUGGUUGAUCAUGUCCAUAUAUAUAUAUAUAUAUAUAUAUAUAUAUCGCUUUUAUAUAUUUACAUUUCCGAUCCCCCAUGGAGUUGCUUCAUGGUGGUUGAUCCUGUCUAGGAGUGAUCAUUCGGUUAGAACCGAAAACCAAAAUAAUGCUAAUUUUACUAUCCGAACUAAUAACCAAAAUUUCAAAAUAGCCGAAUUACUGAAUACCGAAUUACCGAAUUGUAAUUUCGGUAAUUCGGGUAAAAACCGAAUCACUGUCCAGCAAGUGGUACUGUUUAACAUCAGAGAAAAAAUUAAUCAGAGAAAAAAUGGAGAAACCUGACGACAUAAAGGAAAACAAGCAGUCAAGGUAGCAGAGGAGGGUGAAUUUUUUUUUUAAUUUUUUAACCCCCAAAGUCUAACAGGCUGAGAGGAAAAAGUGAAGGACUACCAAAAUUACAUAUCAUCAAGCCCAAGUGGGGCUUUAGAUUGUUCAAAUUUCUUCUCAGAUACUCCUUACCGAGGCACCAACCGGCACAAGAAAUCACCACCAAAUAGACAACUUCAACAGCAAACUUUAUGUACAUCUUAGAUCACAAGACAACAAGAAAGCAGUAAAGGGGCUAAACAUCAAAAGAUAACCAUACAAACAAAUAUCUUAUUUUCCUCCAAUGAAUACCUUCACAAUCUGCUAACAGACUUUGAUUUGACAAGGAAGAUAUUCAUAACGCAAAGAAACAGGCUACAGAUAAUCCUAUGGCUCCUGCUGGAGAGUCUGGAGUAGCUUAAACAAAACAAUUUUAAACAUAUAAGAUUCUAAAGCUGUGAAGCAAGAUGAAGAUUCUCAAUUUCUCAGAUCUGAAGCCAACUGCCCGACUCGGUCGGUCACUUAGGAGGAGAGAGGAAUACUUAGGACUUUAGGAUCUGGACUCUACUCUAGAGUGGAGUACUGGAGUUAGGCAGUAAGGCACUUAAGUUAGGAGUUAGAUAAUAAUAAUAUUAUAAAAUUAAUAUUUUAGAGAAUGAAGGUUCGGUUAUUCGGAUAUCCGAAUAACCAGUUUUUUGAAAACCAAAACAGUAACCGAAUACUGAAAUAUAAUUCGGAUAUAACCGAAAUUGUAAAAAAUACCGAAAAACUGAAAUAAUUCGGUUAAAAAAUUUCGGUUCGGUUCGGUAGUUCGGUUUUAUCCGUUUUAUGCUCACUCCUAAUCCUGUCUGUAUAUAUAUAUAUAUAACUGCUUAAUGUUUUCCAUACAAAUUGCAGUAUCAUGUGAGCCUAGGAAUCAUGUGAUCACAGGUUCAGUUUACUGAAUCUAGAUUCGGUUCCUAUGAUGGACAUUUUUCAGCUGUAAGCAGCUUGUACAUUAUUUUACAGUGUCUGAAUUUCCAUGGAUGGCUGUCAUGCCCAUGAGGAGUUCGGCACUGCUGUAUAUUAUUUUCUCGAGAAUGCUUUGCAUCUCGAAAAUAAAAGCAAACAAGCCUUACAUUUAAUAAUAAAAUAGAAGUAUAAAAAUGUCUCAAUUCCUAUUGAGCACGGGGUUUGAAAAAUCUCUUUUACAAAACGUCAUUGCUAUAUCUUGGUUAAAACUGAAUUUUUCUAUAAAAUUCAAACCUUGCGUAUAUAGGUGCGAACGAGGCCUCACGCUACUUUCAAAUAAUUGCACAUUGAUCCACACACACACACACACAUUCAUAUAAUAAUUUCUUUGAAAAGUGGCGGUCACCGUGGUAACACGGAUGUCGGGGGGUGCCUAACACCUUCCCUCCGCAUAAUCAAGCCCCCGGACCCAAAAUGAAUCUCGGUUUCACAGACCCGUCUAGCAGUGUCAAAACACUGGGUCAAUGUGCAAACCUUUUCGGUUGCGUUGGUGCAACCAGUUAAAUAAACCAACUGGCGACUCUUAAAGUCAAAUCGUCGACAUUAUACAUGUCGGACCUUUUUCACUUGUUUUUUCAAACACAUCUCACAUUAAUAUGAGAACACCAAAGAACAAGUAACGAAAAGGGACACUCAAAAAUCCCGACGUCGACAGGUGGUGACUCUGCUGGGGACUCCAGUAAGAGGGCUUAAGCCGCUAUUACAAGCUUUUCAAAAUUGUUAUAUGCUUGUGUAUGAAUGUUGCAUUUACUUUUCUGAUGAAUGUGUAUGAAUGCAUCUUAAUUACUGCACUGUUAAAUAUCUAUCUGUGAUAUUAGUGCUUCGCACAUGUCAUCAUUUUGCAUAAACGGUGAGACACGUUGUAUGUGAAUGUAUGUUGUGUGGUCCCUCCACCAGGAGGCUAUCCUAUCGGUGUUUGAUUACUGGACUCGUGGGAAGAAUAAUUCCCCGAGGCUCAGGAAAGGCACCACUCAAAUUCGCUCCAGUUGAACGACCGGAUUAACUUCCCGUCAAGUAGAUUACGAUGAUCUGGGAACCUUUAGGCCAAAAAGCCGCAAGAGUAACCUAAGAUAGGUCAGCCUCUGAUAAACCAAAUGCGAAGGGAAGUCUCUUCAUACUUUCCCAUUUAAAAUUUCAAUUACUUGUCAAUUUCAAUGUAAAGGAAAAUAUGAAGAAUAUAUGUAAAUGCAUAUUAAGGCUUUACAUGCUAUUAAAUGACACCCAUUUUGCAGGAUAAUAUUCCUAAAAUGGACACGUUAUGAUAGCAUGUAAAAUUUUAUACAUUUCCCUAAGACUAAACUACAUAAGUUUUUGUAGGGAAGAAAUUGAUCCCGUUUACCGUUCAAAGACCAAAAGGGCAUUAAGGCCACAGUCAGAUAUGGAUAAAAGUGCCCAACCUGAUCCAACUUCUGUCUCUUACGAAGAGUUCAAAAAAUUAAGCUAUCAAAUGACAGAGUUGGCUGUUAUGCUCAAAGAACUACACCAAUCUAUUCAGGGUCCACAAAUACCCAUCCACACAGAAUCCUCUGCACAUGGAGGAAUCCAAGGCCAAACAAUGCCUACUCAACCAGAGUCAUCCACACCAGGAGGCAAUCAGGGUAUUGGCAAAAAGAUGGAAACCCAGAUAUCUGAACCUCAUUCCAAUAAAGAAAUCACAAAUCUCAGGGAUGAUCGAGAAAUUAGGGAUAUAAGAAAGAAAGUCCAACAAAUGGAGGAGACCAUCCGGUCAAUCAAAGGGACUAGAAAUUAUGGGAGUGUCACCUAUUCAUAUCUUUGCAUAUUCCCAGGGGCGCACUAUCCUACCAAAUUCAAAGUCCCAGAGUUUAAAAAGUACAAUGGGGAAUGCGAUCUCUAUACGCACCUGAAAGUGUACAUUGGCGAACUAGGAUCUUAUGCUAAAGAUGAAAGCCUCAGAAUGCAACUUUUCCAAAAGAGUCUCACUAGAGAGGCUAAAGCCUAGUGCCCAACUUGACAAUGCCAAAAUCCACAACUGGGAAGAAUUGGCCCACGCCUUUCUAAAUCAGUACAAUUUUCAGUCACAAAUGGCACCUGAUCGAUACCAAGUGACUAAAGUAAAAAAGCAAAAUACUGAAUCUUUUCGAGAAUAUGCCCAAAGGUGGAGACAUCUACCAGCGCAAGUUAUUCCAUCAAUGACAGAAGCUGAGAUGGUGAUGACGUUUAUUGAUAUCCAAGAGGCUCCGUACUACGAGAGGAUCCUAGCAGGCAUAGGAAAGCCAUUCUCGGAAAUGAUCAAACACGGCAAAAUGGCAGAGAUGGGCCUUAAAGCAGGCAAGAUUAAAGACUUCACUGCCUUGGAAGCAGUCGCCAAGCAUAUACAGACGGGCAAGUAUGCGAGUGAUCCUAAGGGUGUACCCGAUAAAGGCAAUGAAGAUGUAUCCCUUGUUUUACAGGGGCAAGUUAGGAGACCAACCUACAGUCCCCCUAUUCGGAAAAUACAAGACAAUCUGCCAUCUCAACAACAGGCUGCGUUUAACCAAUACCCAGAUAGGAAAAGAAAAUUUGAAAGAACGGAAAAUUGGGUGUUCACUCCACUAGGCGAUUCCCUUGAACAUGUCUUGGCGAUAUUAAUGGAUCACAAGAAAAUUACCGAACUGGCUCCACCUCUAGAACCAAGGAGCAAAGGAUAUAAUACAAGCCAAAGAUGUGCUUACCACUCAGGGUCUCCAGGACAUGAUACAGAAGAUUGUUGGUCCUUAAAGCAUAAAAUCCAAAAUCUGAUCGAAAGUGGCAGAAUUGUGUUUCAGCAACCUGAUCAACAGAAUGUCAACACCAACCUUCCAUUGCAGCAUGAUAUAGGGGAAGUAAACAUGAUUGGGUCAGGAAGCGUUGAAAUGUAUCCAAUUCGUAAGUGCAUACGAAGGAUAGAGGACUACCCCCAAAGGCAUAUAACAAAUGUCCUAAAGUGGGAAAACUCGGAGGAAGGUAUCAUAGUAAUGCAAAAAUUAGAGACGAUCCAGAACCAAGUAAAUCUGCUAGCUAAGCUGAUAGUACGCCAGCAUCAGGAUACAAGGCAUUUCUUCACUCAACUAUCAGAAGGCCAAGAAAAGGGGGAUGAUAAAAUUGCUAGCAGACCUCGCCAACGGAAAAAUCUCUUAGGGGAAUGCGAACUCUCAAAGAAGAAAGAUCAAACAACCUCCACAAGAGUCCAAAAAUUCACCCCUCUAAGCAAAUCCAAUAGAGAAAUGCUACACUUUCUGAUGAGCGAAGGAAGGAUUACUGAGUUGCUACCUCCUGUAAAUCCCAAGAUACAGAGCUAUGAUUCCACCAAGAUAUGUCUCUACCAUUCUAACUCACUUGGACAUACGACUGAGGAAUGCUGGGCUUUGCGACAUAAAAUCCAGGAUUUCAUUGAAAAUGGAGAGCUGGAGAUAGAAAUUCCCAUGACCAAAAAAGGCGAAAAGGCAAUAAAAAGCUUAAGAUGUCCACUUGAGAUAGGCAGCUCAAAUGAGGUGAAAACUAUGAGCGAUAAUCCUGGCAGAACACAAGAUGGAGCGAUCCUAAUGCAGGAAAUGAUAAAAGAGACAAGGGAAUCCCCGAAGGAGGUUCCUCCACCAACAUCCAACAUCCUGUGGUCCAAGGAUAACACCCACGUUCCUGAUUUUAUCACCUUGGAUGAUGCAGAGGAAAUACUAAUCCUUUCUAAGGAAGAAAAAGCAAAAAAUGAAAGUUUCUUGCAAGAAAUGCGACAACAGUUCGAGGGAGAUUUCAUGGUCGAAUCCUCUCAAGCCCAGGAAAAGCGUGAAGGAACAGAUGAAGAAAAAGGUGGUGAGGUUGUUAGGGAAACCAACCCAUCAAAGAAUCAAGAUUUCAUACCUUUUUGUGAUGGGUCCAGCUCAAGCAUACCUGAGGAAUGUACUGAACCAGGAAGCGAUCAAGUUAUGACCAUAAGUGAAGACAUUUAAAACCAAGAAGUAACCUCUGUCGCGAGCCUUGAAGGCAACACAGCCACUGACGACUGGACUAUCAGGCCUCAACUAGCCAAAAAGAUGUAGAUCCAGGGGAUAAAGUUGCGAGUUCCAGAAGAUGUUGGGACAGUAUCACUUCUUUCGCAGUAUGCUUUUUAUUUUCCAUGCAUGUAUAGAAAAAAAAAAGAAAAAAAAAGAAAAAAAAGAAGAAAAACAACAAAAGAAAAAAAUCAAAAAUCAAAAAUCAAAAAUAAAAAAUAAAAAAAAAUCAAAAAAAAUUAAAAAUCAAAUCAUUCAGGUUUCAGCUCAUCAAGCCUGAACUACGAAAGACCUGAUCUCCCCUCAUUAAUGGGAGUACAUAGGCAGCCAUUUAUGGUGCGGUCAAACUAAACACUUCUCAAACCAAACACUUCCCAAACCAAACACUUCUCAAAUAAACGCUUCUCAAACAAACACUUGUCAAACUGUUUAUCUUAUCAAGUAGGAACGAAGCAUACCUGAUCUCCCACACUCACGGGAGUACGUAGGCAACCACCAGUGGUGCGGUCUGACCCUCAACAGAAAUGUCCAAAUCCAAAUGUCGAUCCCAAGAACGACCCUCCAAGUCAGCGACCUAUGUGGAGAAUACCCAACAACACUGCAAUGUCAUUCCAUCAAAUCUGGAACAAAUCCCAGAAAGGAAGAAAUAGCGAUAUGCCAAGACAACCAGCAACGAGGAUCUUCAAAGAUUCGACACCCUUAAUCACGAGUCUUCAUCAAAUCAGAAGAAAAUCAAGACCGAUUGCAAUAACAAGUCAGGAAUAAUGAUUGAAGGCAUCAAAACCCAAGUCCUAUACUUGUUCACCAUCUGGUACAGAAGAAAAGCCUCUUGCGAUCUCAUCAUCUUAUCAGCGCAUCUGUCAAAGCGACUAUACCAGACAACAAGCAAGGCUGUGGCAAUUUUAAAAUCGACUACAACCCGAUAUUGCGACCACUACAACAAGACUUGGGCAAUCUCGAAAAACAGCAGCAACUCAACACUGGGGCAUUUAUCAAACAUCCUAAAGAGGAAAAUGCCCCAGUCAACACCAUCAGCAUAGUCCAUCAUCAUCAAAGCUUCCCUCACAUCAGCUCAUUAGCGAUUUGGAUAUUACUCACUCGCGACUUCAUCAACAAAGAGAGUUUCUCGUAUGAAUCCCCGACAUCAGUAUGCAAAAGGACUGGGGCAUUUUUUGAUUCCAGGAAAGCGAAGGAUUUUAAGGCGGGAUAAUGCCUCUCAUCAAAAGAAGGAAAACUCCUGAAAGAAAUCAUGGCGACAUUAGCGUGCCCCUACGAAAGUAGGGGAAAAUUCUAAAAAAGUUCUUAACUCAAGGCCAAUGAUAAAAAGUCUGGCGAAUGAAAUCUACACCGACAAAUGUGUUAAUUUGCGUCAAAUCCUCAUAAAUUGAGGCCUCUAUACUAAAGUUCAAAAGUUCGACAGUAAAAAAGUGAGCUGCACCCUCCAGGGAUAUCAAUGGCAUUCAGGUCAUCAGUUCAGUCGGGUUGCGAAUCAAAUAUUCAAGAAAAUGGGGCACCAUCACCCAACAGCGAAAGGAAACUCCAAAUCACUCAAAAAGGGUGAAGCGCUACAUCAACGUACAUUUCUAUCAAGCGUAACAUCAGGCAGAGUCUGGCAAAGUGAACCUUUGAAUAUUACUUCAGCGAAGGUAUCGGAAGAUCCGAUAUUCAAAACCAUUAUCUUCAAAUUCAGCGCAACAUCAAGACAGUUCAGUGAUGAAAGUUUUGAAUACCACCAUUCGAGUGAGAACCGAAACAAUUGGGCGAUAACAGCGUGUUCAACUACUAACAGGGUAAGCACCGUUGUAAACUACCAGCGUAUACAUCGGGAAGGUCUGGUGAUUUCAGAACGUCAUCCCCAUCAAAGAUGUGGAAAACAUCUCAACUUAUCUUCAUCAAAUAAGCGUCAACGAUUAAAUGCUAAACCAUUGGAAUUAACACCAGUAUAGGCAUCAACAAUGAUCGGUAAAGGUAAAGCGAUUUGCAAAAACAUUUUAAUCAUGCAUCAUAACAUUCAUUGCGAUUUGCGAUUUGCAAUCUGCGAUAUGUGAAAUACGAUGUACGAUUUGCGAAGUGCGAUUGGCCAAAUGCGAAAAGCGAAAUGCGAAGUACAAAAUGCGAUGUGCGAUUUGCGAACUACGAUUUGCAAAAACAUUUUAACAUUCAUCAUAACAUUCAUUACAUUGCGAUUUGCAUCAUUAAGAGUACCUUGUCAUAUUUCAAGUGUCUACUAAUCUUUAUCAUGUCCAUUCAAGUGCAUUGCAUGAACAUGAUAAAGAGGGGCAUCUGUAGACACUCAAAAUUUUCUUUUCCUGUUACUAACUAUGCAUGAGGGCAAAAAUGUCUUUUUCAUACUCCAGAGGUAACCCUGGAGGACUACAACAUCAUUUCCCGACCCCGGAGUUAACCCCGAGAGGUCAAGAUAACCUCAGAGAUAACCCUAAGUACAUUCAGAGUCAACAACAUGACCAUCUCAGAGAUAACCCUGGGAGGGGAAAAAUGGUCAUUUUGCCAAAUCAACUUCAUUUCAAAUCAAAUACACUCAUGUUAACUCAAAUUGAUUCAAAAUUGGCCCCACAAGACUCAUAUCUUAACUUCAGAGCGAAAACUACGUGAAACAGCUCACCGGAUUGCCUGACGGGAACCCGAGAAUGCUAUUUCGGUCAUGGACCCAUCUUCCUGGAGUCAAAAAGGGCAAAUCCCAUGUCAUUGCAUAACUCUCAAAAAAAUCAGUCCAAAGAUGGUCUUGUACACCUCGUUCGAAUGCUCGGAUUGAAGUUCUGCAAGUACGAGCUAACAUUACAUUGCACGAGUGUACGUACUUCGAGACCAUGGGACCCGUGGAACCCCAGGUAAUUCGGGCAGUUGCAGGUGUAACAGAGGCUGCUGCAGGUACACCUACUGCAAUCAGUUCUAUAAAUAUGGGGCUUGGGCUAGCCAUUUUGGGAGAGAAAAUAGCGAGGAAGCCCUGUCCAAUUGGCUUUAUAUACCCCAUAAACUGAGUGUUGUCUUAUUUCAAACAGUUUUGAGCUUAUAUUUUGUCAUAUUUUUACCGACGGGAGCCGAGUAUUCAUCCAUCUAAAGUCAUAGAAGUCUACAUUGGCAGGCCACUGUAAGCCUUCUCACAUUCUAUAAAACCUUCUUCUCAUAUUAGCACACAUUGUUAUACACAUUGAGAGUCGUGUUGUGUGCGUUUGCCCGGACUUCGGUCCGUGGUUUCCAUUUAUGUCUGUAUAUAUAUACUUAUAUAUGCAUAUAUUUCAUAUAUGGACUAACAUUAUCGAGUUAUGCCUCGAUUAAGCCUAGACUUCGGUCUGGAGCGUUUAUUGCUUUUAUAUAUAUAUAUAUAUAUAUAUACUUAUAUAUAUAAUUGUUGUCAGACAUAUCUGAUGAGCCUGGAUUUUACAUCCGGAGCAUUUACUCGCUUAUAUNNNNNNNNNNNNNNNNNNNNNNNNNNNNNNNNNNNNNNNNNNNNNNNNNNNNNNNNNNNNNNNNNNNNNNNNNNNNNNNNNNNNNNNNNNNNNNNNNNNNNNNNNNNNNNNNNNNNNNNNNNNNNNNNNNNNNNNNNNNNNNNNNNNNNNNNNNNNNNNNNNNNNNNNNNNNNNNNNNNNNNNNNNNNNNNNNNNNNNNNNNNNNNNNNNNNNNNNNNNNNNNNNNNNNNNNNNNNNNNNNNNNNNNNNNNNNNNNNNNNNNNNNNNNNNNNNNNAUAUAUAUAUAUAUAUAUAUAUAUAUAUAUAUACCGCUUUUAUAUAUUUACAUUUUCAAUCCCCCAUGGAGUUGCUUCGUGGUGGUUGAUCCUGUCUGUAUAUAUAUAUUUAUAGCUUUUAUAUAUAUAACUGCUUACUGUUUUCCAUACAAAUUGCAGUAUCAUGUGAUCACAGGUUUAGUUUACUGAAUCUAGAUUCGGUUUCCAUGAUGGACAUUUUUCAGCUGUAAGCAGCCUGUACAUUAUUUUGCAGUGACUGAAUUUCCUUGGAUGGCUGUCAUACCCAGUUCGGCACUGCUGUAUAUUAUUUUCUCGAGAAUGCUUCGCCACUCGAAAAUAAAAGCAAACAAGCCGAACAUUUAAUAAUAAAAUGGAAGUAUGAAAAGGUCUCAAUUCCUAUUGAGCACAGGGUUUGAAAAACCUCUUUUACAAAACGUCAUUGCUAUAUCUUGGUUAAAACUGAAUUUUUCUAUAAAAUUCAAACCUUGUGUAUAUAGGUGCGAACGAGGCCUCACACUACUUUCAAAUAAUUACACAUUGAUCCACACACACACACACACACACACACAUUCAUAUAACAAUUUCUUUGAAAAGUGGCGGUCACCGUGGUAACACGGAUGUCGGGGGGUGCCUAACACCUUCCCUCCGCAUAAUCAAGCCCCCGGACCCAAAAUGAAUCUCGGUUUCAUAGACCCGUCUAGCAGUGUCAAAACACUAGGUUAAUGUGCAAACCUUUUCGGUUGCGUUGGUGUAACCAGUUAAAUACACCAACUGGCGACUCUUAAAGUCAAAUCGUCGAUAUUAUACAUGUCGGACCUUUUUCACUUAUUUUUUCAAACAAAUCUCACAUUAAUAUGAGAACACCAAAGAACAAGUAACGAAAAGGGACACUCAAAAAUUCUUACGUCGACAAUACUAUGACAAUAAUUGAAUCAAUAAUAUGAGAGAUAUGAUGCAGUAAUUUCUGUAGAAAUAAUUGAGUAUAACUGAGUGACUUCUUACAUAAGCAUCAAUCAUUAAUACCGUGUGCUACUAUGCAACCACGCGUAUUACUGUACUUUUACUACCGGGUAGUUCAACAGUUUUAACGGUAACACUUUCGCCAUUAUUUUUAUAAAAUGAUAAUACUAUCAUUUUCUAAAUACGACAAUACUUCCGUUGUGGGUUCACCAAUGAUUGUGCCAUCGUACGGAUAUUCCCCGACAAAAAGAACAUUUUAUAUCAACUUGCUUACUUUGCAAAAUUUUCAAAUAUCACCUUUAACUUUAACCUUUAUCAAUUUAACCAUUUACUAAAUAACAUAAUAAUUAUAAGAAAAUUGAAUACUUUCAUUUCAUAAAAUUCGGGGUCUCACAAUCUCCCCUCCUUAUGAAAUUUUGCCCUCGAAAUUUACGUACGUACCUGGUAUUCGAAGAGAUGAGAAUACCUUGCUUUCUUUUCGAAUUGUACCUUCCCGGUUAUUUCCUUUGUAUCAUGAUUUUCCCAUUACUCAUCUCAUGUAUUUCAUAUAUCAUUCUAGAAUAUAUCUUCAAAACAAAGGUUAAUUGACAUAUCACAAUUUGUCAACUUAUCAAGUAAACAAUUUCAGCUUAGGUAAGUCACACACUAGCGAAGUGUAUAACUCGUCUCUCCCCUCCUAGUUCUAGACUCUUAUCUCCGCCAGCAACUAUAUCCCUAAGCUCUGAUAUCAUUUGUGACGCCCCCAAAAUAUGUCCACAUGACCCAUUCUGAGUAACCAGAUAUCGCACUAUAAAAAUCAAAUAUAAACUUCAUUUAUAUAACUGUUGAACUGUCGUGCAGAGUACGACAACAGAUAAGCUGUGAGUUUUAAUACAAAUGUAUGUAACUCUCAUGGUGCCUCGACCACAACCUUACAAUGGUACUUUACAUAAAAGUACAAUCAAAAACUAUUUUAGAAAUUAAAAUCUUUGGGAAGUGCUCAAGGAAACCUUCGGAAAUGGGAGGCCAUGCGUCUAGGUUAUGAUAGAUAUCAUAUAUCCANNNNNNNNNNNNNNNNNNNNNNNNNNNNNNNNNNNNNNNNNNNNNNNNNNNNNNNNNNNNNNNNNNNNNNNNNNNNNNNNNNNNNNNNNNNNNNNNNNNNNNNNNNNNNNNNNNNNNNNNNNNNNNNNNNNNNNNNNNNNNNNNNNNNNNNNNNNNNNNNNNNNNNUAAAGAUAAUUUACAUCAUCAAUAGCCUUCAUCAGUAAUAAAUCAGAGAUUUAGGACAUAUGGUAGAUGAUAAAACUUUUCAACCAUAGUUGCAGCGGAACGAACAAUCCAUUAGAAGAGUCAAAUAGACCAUCAGGUCUAUUAUCUUCUCCAUGUUAAAAGUCCAAUAAUAAUAUUUUAUCCAUGUAACAUCAAUCAACAAUUCAUGUCCACAAUCAUAUGAAUAACUCAUAAUCAUAAUUAUGAUUCUAAAUUUCUCUUCGCACCCAGGACAAAGAUAAUUUUUAUCACCUAUCUUCACCUGAAACAUCAAAAAUCAUGGUUAUACCAAAUCACAAUUCCUGUUCAUAAUCAUACUAAUAAAUUCAUCUUUGCACUACGGCCAAAGAUAUUCAUUAACAAUUUAUCUUUGUACUACAGGCCAAAGACAUACAACUGUAUUUUAGAAGAGUCAAGUAGAGUAUGAUAUCUACUAUUUUUUACGAAUUAAAAGUUUAUAAUCAAUAUUUUAUCGCUGAGACUCAGCUUAAUAAAUAAUCCACAUCAUCAAAUCAUCCCUGCACUACGACCAAGGAUAUUCAUGUAAUCAUCAAUAGUCAUGAUUAUACCGAAUAAUCCCUGGUUAUAAUCAUACCAAUAACUGUCUAUUAAUGCACUACGGGCCAAUGAGGACUUUUACCACAUCAUCUAUAACAUUACAGGUCAUGAUUAUAUCGAAUGAUCCCUGGUCAUAAUCAUACCAAUAAACAGUUCAUCUAUGCACAUAAGC
RNAcentral lists this long non-coding RNA (12656 nucleotides) under Panax ginseng (ginseng). Its description in RNAcentral is "long non-coding RNA (PGIN_LNC005527)". Lineage: Eukaryota; Viridiplantae; Streptophyta; Magnoliopsida; Apiales; Araliaceae. The record is from RNAcentral.